GGAGAGGUGGCUGAGCGGUUGAAAGCGCUCGCCUCGAAAGCGAGUAGGUGGGUUAAUCCCUGCCUCGUGGGUUCGAAUCCCACCCUCUCCGCCA
Molecule: transfer RNA, 94 nt
Filed under: Bacillota bacterium
Lineage: Bacteria; Bacillati; Bacillota
Description: tRNA-Ser
Rfam family: tRNA
About the family: Transfer RNA (tRNA) molecules are approximately 80 nucleotides in length. Their secondary structure includes four short double-helical elements and three loops (D, anti-codon, and T loops). Further hydrogen bonds mediate the characteristic L-shaped molecular structure. tRNAs have two regions of fundamental functional importance: the anti-codon, which is responsible for specific mRNA codon recognition, and the 3' end, to which the tRNAs corresponding amino acid is attached (by aminoacyl-tRNA synthetases). tRNAs cope with the degeneracy of the genetic code in two manners: having more than one tRNA (with a specific anti-codon) for a particular amino acid; and 'wobble' base-pairing, i.e. permitting non-standard base-pairing at the 3rd anti-codon position.
Source: RNAcentral